Molecule: ribosomal RNA, 164 nt
Filed under: Antiaropsis decipiens
Lineage: Eukaryota; Viridiplantae; Streptophyta; Magnoliopsida; Rosales; Moraceae
Description: 5.8S ribosomal RNA
Rfam family: 5.8S ribosomal RNA
About the family: 5.8S ribosomal RNA (5.8S rRNA) is a component of the large subunit of the eukaryotic ribosome. It is transcribed by RNA polymerase I as part of the 45S precursor that also contains 18S and 28S rRNA.
Source: RNAcentral
AGAAUGACUCUCGGCAACGGAUAUCUCGGCUCUUGCAUCGAUGAAGAACGUAGCGAAAUGCGAUACUUGGUGUGAAUUGCAGAAUCCCGUGAACCAUCGAGUCUUUGAACGCAAGUUGCGCCCGAAGCCAUCAGGCCGAGGGCACGUCUGCCUGGGCGUCACAC